This 171-nucleotide ribosomal RNA is filed under the name uncultured bacterium. Its description in RNAcentral is "partial 16S ribosomal RNA". The record is from RNAcentral.
CACGCCCUAAACGAUGUCAACUAGGUGUUGGGUGGGUAAAACCAUUUAGUACCGGAGCUAACGCGUGAAGUUGACCGCCUGGGGANACGCGAAAAACCUUACCUACCCUUGACAUGUCCAGAAGCCCGAAGAGAUUUGGGUGUGCCCGAAAGGGAGCUGGAACACAGGUGC